Molecule: transfer RNA, 74 nt
Filed under: Plantactinospora endophytica
Lineage: Bacteria; Bacillati; Actinomycetota; Actinomycetes; Micromonosporales; Micromonosporaceae
Description: tRNA-Arg
Rfam family: tRNA
About the family: Transfer RNA (tRNA) molecules are approximately 80 nucleotides in length. Their secondary structure includes four short double-helical elements and three loops (D, anti-codon, and T loops).
Source: RNAcentral
GCCCCUGUAGCUCAGUGGACAGAGUGUCUGGCUACGAACCAGAAGGUCGGAGGUUCGACUCCUCCCAGGGGUAC